Molecule: long non-coding RNA, 3764 nt
Filed under: Brassica napus (rape)
Lineage: Eukaryota; Viridiplantae; Streptophyta; Magnoliopsida; Brassicales; Brassicaceae
Description: long non-coding RNA (BNAP_LNC022209)
Source: RNAcentral
UAGAGGAAAGGAUGAUGCAUCAAUGGGAGCAGGAGGAAAGAUGAAAGAGGCGGUCACAAGGAGCUUCGAGCACAGUAAAGAUACGGUGGAGGAAGCUGCCAGGUCAGCAGCGGAGGUGGCGUGUGAUGCGACGGAAGCAGUUAAAGAAAAGGUGAAGAGGAGCUUUUCCGGCAGCGAGACGACUCAGCAGCAGUCGGAUGAGCUCUAAAUACGUCGUCUUUCUAGCUCAUGUGUUGGUUGUUCAGUUUCGGAAGAGAAUCGCAACAUCUCAUACUUGUUUGAUUUCUACGUCGACUCGCGUGUUUUUUCUCUCGAAAUACUGGAAUAUGUACACGUCACAUGAGGGAUUUCAGAUCUCAUAUUCAAAUAAGUUCUGUCCUAAACCAUUGACUCACAAAUAUCUUCUUUUUUCUUUUGUCAACAAGAGCAAAAUAUCUAUUAAGACCCAAAAUAUCCAUCUAUAAAAAAGUGUGAAUAUCAUUAUACAAAUGAGAAUUACAGUGGCCAUUGAUCGAUGUUAUUUUUCAAUUAUCUUGAUCUUGUUGAGAUGCGAAACAGCUAUACAAAUUAGCCUCGGGACGGAUCGGGUAUCCGGACAACUUUAAGGUAUCCGGAUCUUUAUCCGGUUGAUCCAUAAUUUUACUAUCCUUAUCCGGAUCCGGGGUUCUCGGAUAUCCACUGGCGGAUAUCUUUCUAAAAAUUGUAAUAUCCGGCGGAUAUCCGGAUCCAGAUUUGGAUCCUUAAAAUAAAUAAAUAAAUAAUAUUUAUAUUUAUAUUAAAAAUAAUUUAAAAAUAAAAAAAUAUAUAAUGUUUUUAAUUAUUUUUAUAUCCCUGUUGAUUUUGAUAUAGCUGCUAUUAUGAAAUUGAAUUUAGGAAUAUUGGUUGUGUGUGUUGGUGCAGCUCCGGGGAUAAGUGCGUCUCCGUCAGAGGAGAAUAUGCGAUAUUUCAAUGUUAUGAUUCUUGGUCCUACCCAGUCUCCUUAUGAAGGUACUCAAGAUUAAGUCUGCUGUGAUGAUAUCUGCUGUGUUCAUUUACCAGAACUAAUUCUUGUGUAUUAACGUUCAUUAAAAUGUUUAUUAAUUGGUAUUUUUUUUUAAAAAAAAAUUAUCCUCAAUUUGUAGGAGGAGUUUUCAAGUUGGAGCUCUUUUUGCCUGAAGAGUAUCCUAUGGCAGCUCCCAAAGUAAGUUGCUUCAACUUUUGUGAGUUUUACUCAUUUUCAUUUCAUGUUUCUGAUGUUUUGGCUGCAUUCAUUACAUUCCAUUGUAACUUUGAGUAGAAUUAGUGUAACCCAACAAUAUUGUAUGAACGCAUUGUAAAUGACUAUCAAGUUGAUUGUCUUUUACACAUUAUAAUUUUUUUUUUGUUUUAUACCGAAUGCGGUUUAUGAGAUUGGUUACUGUGGUUCGUCAUGACUACUUCAAAUGCUUUUUCACUUGUAAGAUUAGACAGCGUAUCCAAAUUUCAAUAUUGAUAUAGAGUUUGGCGGUCUUAUCAUUAUGUAACACAGGUUAGGUUUCUCACCAAGAUUUACCAUCCUAACAUUGACAAGGUUUGUUGCAAAAUUUAUACUAUUUUAUUUUCUCUUACUAUCUUUAUAUAUCCUUAUGAAACAUGUUUUGUAUGCUUUCAUUUAUGUAUAUAUAGCUUGGAAGAAUUUGCCUUGACAUAUUGAAAGACAAGUGGAGUCCUGCGCUACAAAUAAGAACUGUGCUCUUGAGGUAUAGUUGAUAUUCCAUAGAUUUACUCUCUCUAGUCUCUAAUGCAUAAUAAUAACAGUUGUUAAUAUCAAUUAUUGAAACUUUAUGGUUCUCCAAUGGUGGUUUAAAAAUCAAGUAUUCAAGCUCUUCUAAGUGCACCAAACCCAGAUGAUCCACUCUCUGAGAACAUAGCUAAGCAUUGGAAGAGUAAUGAAGCUGAAGCUGUGGAGACAGGUGAUAAACAUGAUCUUAAAACUGUCAACAAAUCUUUGUUCCUCUAUAAUCUGGUGAAUCUCAUAUCGUUGUGAACAUAUAUGCAGCUAAGGAGUGGACUCGUCUGUAUGCAAGUGGCGCUUGAUGGGGGGAGUGCAACAGGAGAAAGAUCAUUGUCAUUUAAAUAAGAUUAUAUAUGGUGAAACACUCUAUCUCAAGGUUUUAUCCAAAUCCUUCUUUUCUAAAACAUGGAAAAAAAAAGAUUUGUACUCUCUGGAUAUGUAUAACUACUAGGGAGGAUUUAAGACUAGUUUACCCAUAUUUGCAAACUAACUUUCUUCAAAUGUGCUUGCGCUUGCUGUGUUUAGAAAUAUUCUCUAAUUAUUAAAGCACUGCUAGAUGAUAAAGUUUGACAGGUUGUGAAUGAAGGCCAGUUUGGUGAAUGGUUAAAGUAGAGAGAAAUGUUACUAUUACAGAUGUAUGAGCAGGCUACCAAAAUGAAGCAGAUUAUUUUGGUCAAACGUAGAAAAAGGUGUAAAAAAUCGUCAUGAUGUGGGAUGAGAUUUCAAUUUGUUUGUUUCUUUUAAAUGGCUUUAUAUAAACUGGCCUCGUUAGUUGAUGGACGCCUCAAGUAGUAACUGAGGCUAUUGGCAAGAACCUACAAUCAAAAUGAGAUUUUGCUCAAUAAGCGGCAAAAAUAAGAUCUGAAAGAAAAUACUCACCAGCUCAACUAACACUUGCUAAGAUGGUAAACAAAGGUUAAAUACGAGUCUCGCGACUUUGGAAAUUGAAAAGAUAAAAUAUGGUUCUAUCAUACGGAUUAGAAUGGUUACGAUGGUCGUAACUCGUAAGUACCGAACCAAUUCUACAGUAAGUGGCAAGUCAUACAUGUCAAUAAUACGGUCGGGUAUAAACCGGAUUUGGGUAUAAAACGUAAUAGUAAAGUCUUACAUGAGCCCACCUCCUUUACGUUCGACCUUUCACGUCGUUUUGUGGUUCACGCGUCAGACACGUGUGGUGUCCCCACCACGUCUCACUUGCCGACUUGCCUUGGCAAACAGUAACCUUUGUAACACAUUUUGUCAACCACAAGUUUUGUUCCUUAAGUUCAACUCACCUGCAUUAUUUAAACACACAGAGAGAAAGAAACAUAGAGAACCUUAACAACGAAAAUAAACACAUGGCCGGAAAAUUAAUGACAUUACAGGUUUCUCAUCUGCUAUGCAUAUCUUUAGUCAUCUUCUUUGUAUUCUCUGUGAAUGUUGUCAGUGAGGAGGAUUACCAGAGAGUGGUGCCUCCGGAAGAUAAAACGACUACGGUUUGGUUCUCUACGAUCAAACAAUCUGGUAAUGAUUACUGGGCGAAACUCAAAGAGAGUUUAGGUCGUGGUCACGCCCGCUUUUUUCCUCCGAACAUAGAGUAAGUAGAUACUCGGUUCAAAUAGUCAGUCUUAGAGAUCAUAUAAUAUUAUACUCCAUUUGUUUCCUAUUUUUCUACCGUCUACUUUUCUUCAAAAGUGUCACUAAAACAUAAUUUAAAUUUUAUUUAUUUAAUUAUUAAUAAAAUAAUAAAAAUAUAUAACUUUGAUUAUAUGCAUAAAGUUAAAGUAUAUUGUGAAACAAUGAAAAUUCUCUAAAACAUCAUUAAAAAAAUAAUAAAACGGAGGAAGUGAAUCGUAACUGAGAAAUACGUGGUUUCUAGUCCAAGUAGCUUCUUUUUUUCAAGGCGGGUUAUUUUCUUUGCAUUUGUGUAGUUUUAGAGGAAAGGAUGAUGCAUCAAUGGGAGCAGGAGGAAAGAUGAAAGAGGCGGUCACAAGGAGCUUCGAGCACAGUAAAGAUACGGUGGAGGAAGCUG